Molecule: long non-coding RNA, 339 nt
Filed under: Elaeis guineensis (African oil palm)
Lineage: Eukaryota; Viridiplantae; Streptophyta; Magnoliopsida; Arecales; Arecaceae
Description: long non-coding RNA (EGUI_LNC028270)
Source: RNAcentral
GACCUGCUCGGGGUAUCCUCCUAUGGCAAUAGGAAUCUCACUUUGUGACAUUGCCUGUCAUCAUUCUGAGUCUCCUGUCUCGUGUCCGAUCCAUCUGCUCUUGGAGCUCCACCUUGCACUGGACUCCCUGUCAAGAGGUAGUGUCCUCUAUACUGCUUCCCCUUCAUCACGACCCUAUUAUCAUGCGAAAUCUUUAGGAUUCCUCUAUUAGCUCUCCAUCUGUUGCUGCUUAAAUCCAAUCUACUGAGGAAAAUUAGAUUUCUCUUGAAGUUAGGUAUGUAUCGGACCUCAUCCAACUUCCUCACUGCUCCAUCAUAUGUCUCCAUGCUGACCAUCCCA